GAGCUACUCCCUCCGUUCGGAAUUACUUGUCCAAGAAAUGAAUGUAUCUAGAUGUAUUUUAGUUGUAGAUACAUCCAUUUUUGUGACAAGUAAUUACGAAUGGAGGGAGUGCAUA
Non-coding RNA from Triticum aestivum (bread wheat), 115 nucleotides. Lineage: Eukaryota; Viridiplantae; Streptophyta; Magnoliopsida; Poales; Poaceae. The record is from Rfam.